UGGGAGUUAAAGUGAACCACCUCUGAUUUGCUGGCAUUAAUGAUGAGGUGCUUCUUUUGAGCAUAUAAAUGCAACUGAUUCAGCAUUUGCUGCAUAUCGUCCUCAGAAUUACUUAGCAAGGUCAGGUCAUCAGCGAAGAGCAAGUGCGACACAUGGAAAUUCUCUGUCCCUGUCACUGCACCCGUGCAUUCCUCUGCAAUCCAGUCCACAUCAUU
Molecule: long non-coding RNA, 215 nt
Filed under: Dunaliella salina
Lineage: Eukaryota; Viridiplantae; Chlorophyta; Chlorophyceae; Chlamydomonadales; Dunaliellaceae
Description: long non-coding RNA (DSAL_LNC000408)
Source: RNAcentral